ACAUGUAGUUUAUAGCCUAAGUUAGAUACUUUUUUUUUUUAUCAUGCUUGACGAUUCCUUUUAUGACAAAAAAAUUAAGGUUCUGUCUCUCUCAAUGGGUAGUUUCUACACAUUAUAGAAGAUUAGUGUUAUUUUGAGUUAUGCUGGAAUGUUGAAAGGGGAAGACAGAUAUUAUUGCUAGUAUAUAUGCAGAAUACAAUACCUUUGUUUGUUCCCACAUUAUAUUUUAUCCUUGGGUAUCAUAGAGAACAAUAUCUAAUAUGUCACAGUUGUUCUGAGUUGUAUCUGGGCAAUGUGUUGAGCUGGUCCUUAAGUUUAGAAUGGUCAAUGAAAUAACAACAAUUAUUAAAGCAUAUUUGACCUGUACGUAUAUUCUCUUUUAGUUAUGCCUACUAAUUAUUUCCUUAGAUCAAGUUUUCUUAAAUCUUGGGUCUACUGUUUCUGGAAUUUCUUAGGGAAGGCAUCUUUUAUCCAUCAAACUUAAUAGUCCUCGUGAGACAUGCGAUAGUGCAGAAAUAAUCAUUUUUAUGAUGAUCUCGAAGGGUCAGGCUGAAGUCAACAAAAAAUGUAUUAAACAUUUCUAAGCUAAAAAAAAAUGAUCUAUCUGCUGGAUGUUUAGAACAUGAAACUUGCAAAGUCUCCUUCGCACCUGAUAAAGGAUUUGUAGAUGCAUCUGCAAAUUUGUCUCCAGAGUUAUGUGUUGAAGAUCAUAGUACACUUGGAAGCCUUGGAUUGUCUAUUGAAAGGUCCUUUGAAGCAUUCCAUCCACUUCAAACAGGUAAUAUCAGUUCUAAUAACAUCAUUUCAGAUGGUGAAGCUGUGGCUGCCGCAUCUCGGAGACCAGCUUCCUUGCCUUUAGAACCUACUCAUGUAAGAGCGGGAGGUGAUCUGAAGUCAUGUGAUCCUGCCGUUCUUAUUUUAGAUGAAAAUAAGGAUGUGGAAGAGCCCUCAAAAGCCAAGGAACAACUUGAGAAUAUUUUUGUUCCUGAUGACUCUCAUAUUCCUGUUUCUACAGCAAUGAAGCAUGAUGGUCCCUUCUUAUAUUGAUCAAGGGCCGAAGAGACCAUCACCCCCAUACGAAGCCAAUCCUGUUCGAAGAUGGCUGGAAUUACUCAAGUAUUUCUAUAAAAUCCUACACCAAUGCAAUUCAGAGAUAAAUGCUUGAUUUGGCUUUUGCUUGUGAAUAAUCCAGUUCAUAGAAUCGCAAUGAGAGAGAUGACUGGCUAUUGUUUUUUUAGUGGCUUGCCCCAUUAUACAUCUUCUGUGCUUCAGCUAUGUAUAUGUUAUUUGCUUUCUCUUGGUAUUUCAGUAGUCAGCUGCAGCCUCCAAAUCUUUCAGAUAAUUUGAAGGUUAGGAUUGAUGGUCUUGUAGUUUGUUGUAAAUUAUUGUAUCAGGUCCAUGCCUUUAUUUGUUGGCAAAUCAUUGGAUUUCUGAUUACAUUCAGUAAUCAAACCAGCAAUAGUUUCUUAUCACUUAAUGUAGCAAGUUUGAGUUGCCUA
Non-coding RNA from Phoenix dactylifera (date palm), 1499 nucleotides. The record is from RefSeq and is a predicted model, not a curated record. NCBI's taxonomy places the organism in Eukaryota, Viridiplantae, Streptophyta, Magnoliopsida, Arecales, Arecaceae.